This 253-nucleotide ribosomal RNA is filed under the name uncultured bacterium. RNAcentral's name for it is "partial 16S ribosomal RNA". It matches the Rfam family "Bacterial small subunit ribosomal RNA", at positions 524 to 776 of the family's 1533-position model. The record is from RNAcentral.
GACAGAGGGUGCAAACGUUGUUCGGAAUUCCUGGGCGUAAAGCGCGUGUAGGCGGUCGAACAAGUCGGGUGUGAAAACCCAGGGCUCAACCCUGGAAGUGGACUCGAAACUAGGCGACUAGAGUCUCGGAGAGGAAAGCGGAAUUCUGGGUGUAGAGGUGAAAUUCGUAGAUAUCCAGAGGAACACCGGUGGCGAAGGCGGCUUUCUGGACGAGUACUGACGCUGAGACGCGAAAGCGUGGGGAGCAAACAGG